Long non-coding RNA from Pollicipes pollicipes, 1154 nucleotides. RefSeq lists it as uncharacterized. Lineage: Eukaryota; Metazoa; Arthropoda; Thecostraca; Pollicipedomorpha; Pollicipedidae. The transcript has 2 exons. The record is from RefSeq and is a predicted model, not a curated record.
UGCAGCGGCACUGCGCGCAUGUGCCGCCCGGCCACGGCGCGCAGCUGACGUGCUUAACGGAGGUGCACGACCCGACACAGCGCUGCGCGGACGUGCUCAACAUGCGGCUGAAGAUGGUGGCCGCUGCUUUGAAGGUGCGGCCGGUGGAGACGGUGCCCGAGCUGAUCGCGUCCGUGCGCGACUCGCCCAGCCGCGACUUCUUUGUGCUGCUCGUGUUCGGCAUCCUGGUCGUCAUGUUCUUCGGCGGCCUAUGCUGCGGCCGCGUCACCAAGAGGGCCAAAUACAUCCACAAGAUCAAGUAGGAGCGCGGCCACUCGGCGCUGCACAGAAACAUCGACCAUCAGCCGGGCGGACGGCGAGAGGCUGUGCUCGGCACGCGGAUUCGCAUAUCCAACGACGCAUCACUUGGGACGGGCUGGCAGCGACGGGCCAAAUCGCGCGGUGUGGGCUGUCAAGCACGUGCUGGCAUCAGCGUGUGGGCACGCUGCGAGGCUCAUCAGAGCGACGGCGCCGACAAGAUGGCCGCCGUCACGCUGGCGAUGGCCGCCGCCGGUGUGGCCCGGGCGGCGGGACAGCGACGGUCAUCGUGACGGUGUGCGUGUGUGUGCGUGACGGACUGCUGCGCCUCGGCUGUGGACUGCUGCGCCUCGGCUGUGGACUGCUGCGCCUCAGCUGUGGACUGCUGCGCCUCAGCUGUGGACUGUUGCGCCUCAGCUGUGGACUGCUGCGCCUCAGCUGUGGAAUGGUGCGCCUCACCUGUGGAAUGCUGCGCCUCAGCUGUGGAAUGCUGGGACGUUCUGCGCCCAGCGGCGCGCUGGCGCUGCCGCUCGUGCCCGCGCUCGUGCCCGCACUGGGAGUUGUCCGGGCCAGCGGUGGGGCGGGUGGCGAGCUGUUCUGACGCGCAAAAGUCUGCCUCGCGCCACCGGCGCCGGUGUGGGGUGGCGAGGCACCGCCGGCUGUGCAGCAUUCCUUCUCGUGCCUCGCUUCUGUUCGCAGCGGGACCGUUACCCGCGUGUUUUGUGGCUUUCCUUUGGUGAUCUGGUGGUGCUCCGUUGCGCUGUCCACGAAUGCUGUUCAACCUUGGGGCAUGUGGGCGCAGCACAUCAAAUCCGCAGUAUGGAUGCAUAUAAAGAAAUGUGGGUCUGAGGUAUGCA